CCCGGUCACAUUCCGAACCCGGAAGCUAAGACUCUUUGCGCCGAUGGUACUGCAGGGGGGACCCUGUGGGAGAGUAGGACACCGCCGGAC
Molecule: ribosomal RNA, 90 nt
Filed under: Cryobacterium sp. TMB3-10
Lineage: Bacteria; Bacillati; Actinomycetota; Actinomycetes; Micrococcales; Microbacteriaceae
Source: RNAcentral